UGCACGCAUGACUGUAAGUCGCGUUUGGAUAAAAGCAUCUGCUAAAUGGCGUAGG
Molecule: non-coding RNA, 55 nt
Organism: Salmo salar (Atlantic salmon)
Lineage: Eukaryota; Metazoa; Chordata; Actinopteri; Salmoniformes; Salmonidae
Source: Rfam